GAAGAAACACUUUUUCCUUUACAAAGAGCUCGACAACUGAUUUGGCAGUGAAUGGAUGGUGUAAGGGAAAGUGACCGCAUUUAGAUAAAUGAUCAACAACCACCAAAAUGCAAUUGAAGCCAUCAAAUUUAGGCUUGGCAAUAAAAUCCGUGCAUAUGUCAUCCCAAAUUGCUAUUGGAAUGGGAAUUGGCCUUAAAAAAAACAAAUAGGGCUCAUGGUCUUAUAUGCGUUGUUGAUGUACCAAGCAUUCUGCAACAAAAUGUUGGACACUCUUCAUCAUACUCUUCCAGUACAGAUUCCAAG
This 303-nucleotide unclassified non-coding RNA is filed under the name Hevea brasiliensis (rubber tree). Lineage: Eukaryota; Viridiplantae; Streptophyta; Magnoliopsida; Malpighiales; Euphorbiaceae. The record is from RNAcentral.